Molecule: long non-coding RNA, 1241 nt
Organism: Brassica oleracea var. oleracea
Lineage: Eukaryota; Viridiplantae; Streptophyta; Magnoliopsida; Brassicales; Brassicaceae
Exons: 5
Source: RefSeq, a predicted model, not a curated record
AAGCGUUCCUAACCCUAAUUCUAAUGAAACGAGGAGAUGGAGAUCGAUGGCGGUGACGCCUGAGCUUCUCCAUACGCCAUCUUCCAUCCAAACAUACACUUCAUUCUUAUUCAGACCCAGAAUCUGAAACUGAGGCUGCUUCUUAUUCUUCGAUUACUUGCCACUUUGAGGUCCUUUUGUAACUCAUGAUUUAAUUGAGUGUGCGGCAUGUCACGAAAGUGAAUGAGCAAGCAGUGGAGAGAGACAGAUCAAGCGAUGGAGAGCGACAGAUCAAGCGGCGGAGUGCGAUGGAUUGCUGGCGGCGGAACAAGCGGCGUUGAGCUGAUGGAGCAAGUCACGGAGAGAGCGAGAUGGAAAUCCUUGGAACAAACGACAAAGAGUGUGACGAGAGAUAGCAAAGAUAAUUGAUGCAGUUCAAACUGUCACAGGGAAGGUCAAUAGGCUCUCGGACAGGAUAGGUUCCUGCUUUCGAAGUUUCUGUAAAUGGAGGGGUGAAGGUUUCGGGAAUCAAACCAAAUUCGAGAGCAGAAUUUAAGAAAAUCUUAUAGGAGUUCAAAUUAUGGCUUAGUAGCCUCACAGAAGAUAAAAAGCAUGCUGCAACAGUUUUUUUGUACUAUAAAAUGACGAAGUAAACUCCUAUAAGAUGAUUCUCAAUCUGAUCAUCUCGCCAACAUCACAAAGCUUGAUGAUACUUGGUCACUUCACUGAGUUUUAGAAGCUGCUGCACAGAAAAGCUGAAGCAUUCCUUUCAAAUGACUACUAUGAGUCACACCUUGCAUGGAUGGACUUGGCUUCAUUUGAAGCUUUCAUCGAGAUGAUAAAGCCACAGCUGAUCUGAAACUCUUUUGGUGACAAUCUAAAGUUAUUGGAAAACAAUCUCCCGCUUGACAGUGUAUACAAAUCAAAAGAUGUGCUGUUACUCCUAUUCGUGUCUUUCAGUGACAAGAACUGGUCGUUGGUCGGAUUUCACUGAGAAUAAACAAAGAUUUGAGAGCAGAAGUUCAAACUGAAGAUUAGCAGCUGCGUAAGAGCCAUGGGAGUCUUCAGAACACACGUGGAAAAGGUUACCAUCUCACUCUAUCAUUCUUGAGUAAAAAUAAUUUCUUGAAUGGAAAAGGAGAAGAAGCUGUCAUCGUUGGUAAUGUUUAGGUAGAUUUGGCCGUAUGUUUCAUUUAUUUUUUACUACAAGACAGAUCAAUAUAUAUUCAUGACUUAAUUAAGAUGAACUUGAGUACUGCGAA